AUAACGACUCUCGGCAACGGAUAUCUUGGCUCACGCAUCGAUGAAGAACGUAGCAAAAUGCGAUACUUGGUGUGAAUUGCAGAAUCCCGUGAACCAUCGAGUUUUUGAACGCAAGUUGCGCCCGAAGCCAUCUGGUUGAGGGCACGUCUGCCUGGGCGUCACGC
Molecule: ribosomal RNA, 164 nt
Filed under: Rudbeckia hirta
Lineage: Eukaryota; Viridiplantae; Streptophyta; Magnoliopsida; Asterales; Asteraceae
Description: 5.8S ribosomal RNA
Rfam family: 5.8S ribosomal RNA
About the family: 5.8S ribosomal RNA (5.8S rRNA) is a component of the large subunit of the eukaryotic ribosome.
Source: RNAcentral